Molecule: ribosomal RNA, 235 nt
Filed under: uncultured bacterium
Lineage: Bacteria
Description: partial 16S ribosomal RNA
Rfam family: Bacterial small subunit ribosomal RNA
Source: RNAcentral
GAUCAUGGCUCAGGAUGAACGCUGGCGGCGUGCUUAACACAUGCAAGUCGAACGAAGCACUUUAUUUGAUUUCCUUCGGGACUGAUUAUUUUGUGACUGAGUGGCGGGACGGGGUGAGUAACGCGUGGGUAACCUGCCUUGUACAGGGGGAUAACAGUUGGAAACGGCUGCUAAUACCGCAUAAGCGCACAGCAUCGCAUGAUGCAGUGUGAAAAACUCCGGUGGUAUAAGAUGG